RNAcentral lists this ribosomal RNA (241 nucleotides) under uncultured bacterium. RNAcentral describes it as "partial 16S ribosomal RNA". It matches the Rfam family "Bacterial small subunit ribosomal RNA", at positions 15 to 246 of the family's 1533-position model. The record is from RNAcentral.
GAUCCUGGCUCAGGAUGAACGCUAGCUACAGGCUUAACACAUGCAAGUCGAGGGGCAGCAUGAACUUAGCUUUGCUAAGUUUGAUGGCGACCGGCGCACGGGUGAGUAACACGUAUCCAACCUUCCGUUUACUCGAGGGAUAGCCUUCGAAGAAGAUUAAUACCUGAUAGUAUGGUGAGAGUUGCGAUGAUAACACCAUUAAAGAUUUAUUGGUAAACGAUGGGGAUGCGUUCCAUUAGGG